UAAGUUGGGCAGGUUGUCGCGCUUGGACUUUGGUCUAAGGGAGGAAAGUCCGGACUUCACAGGAUAGGAUGCUGGUUAACGACCAGGCGGGGUAACCCGACGGCAAGUGCAACAGAAAGUAAACCGCCUACCCACCAUUAGGUGGCGGCAAGGUUGAAACGGUGAGGUAAGAGCUCACCAGCAGUACUGGCAACAGACUGGCUAGGUAAACCCCAUCCGAAGCAAGACCAAGCAAAGGGUGUCUAGUUUUACUAGAAAGCAUCGAUCCGGUGCCCCUUGGGUAGGUCGCUUGAGGCUGCUGGUAACAGUAUGUCCAGAUUAAUGACAACCAAGAGAAUAUCUCUUAACAGAAUCCGGCUUAUUGACUGAGCUUAGCGU
Molecule: RNase P RNA, 378 nt
Filed under: Pseudobdellovibrionaceae bacterium
Lineage: Bacteria; Pseudomonadati; Bdellovibrionota; Bdellovibrionia; Bdellovibrionales; Pseudobdellovibrionaceae
Description: Bdellovibrionaceae bacterium RNase P RNA component class A
Rfam family: Bacterial RNase P class A
About the family: Ribonuclease P (RNase P) is a ubiquitous endoribonuclease, found in archaea, bacteria and eukarya as well as chloroplasts and mitochondria.
Source: RNAcentral